GACGAACGCUGGCGGCGUGCUUAACACAUGCAAGUCGAACGGAAAGGCCCUGCUUUUGUGGGGUGCUCGAGUGGCGAACGGGUGAGUAACACGUGAGUAACCUGCCCUUGACUUUGGGAUAACUUCAGGAAACUGGGGCUAAUACCGGAUAGGAGCUCCUGCUGCAUGGUGGGGGUUGGAAAGUUUCGGCGGUUGGGGAUGGACUCGCGGCUUAUCAGCUUGUUGGUGGGGUAGUGGCUUACCAAGGCUUUGACGGGUAGCCGGCCUGAGAGGGUGACCGGCCACAUUGGGACUGAGAUACGGCCCAGACUCCUACGGGAGGCAGCAGUGGGGAAUAUUGCACAAUGGGCGGAAGCCUGAUGCAGCAACGCCGCGUGCGGGAUGACGGCCUUCGGGUUGUAAACCGCUUUCGCCUGUGACGAAGCGUGAGUGACGGUAAUGGGUAAAGAAGCACCGGCUAACUACGUGCCAGCAGCCGCGGUGAUACGUAGGGUGCGAGCGUUGUCCGGAUUUAUUGGGCGUAAAGGGCUCGUAGGUGGUUGAUCGCGUCGGAAGUGUAAUCUUGGGGCUUAACCCUGAGCGUGCUUUCGAUACGGGUUGACUUGAGGAAGGUAGGGGAGAAUGGAAUUCCUGGUGGAGCGGUGGAAUGCGCAGAUAUCAGGAGGAACACCAGUGGCGAAGGCGGUUCUCUGGGCCUUUCCUGACGCUGAGGAGCGAAAGCGUGGGGAGCGAACAGGCUUAGAUACCCUGGUAGUCCGCGCUGUAAACGGUGGGUACUAGGUGUGGGGUCCAUUCCACGGGUUCCGUGCCGUAGCUAACGCUUUAAGUACCCCGCCUGGGGAGUACGGCCGCAAGGCUAAAACUCAAAGGAAUUGACGGGGCCCCGCACAAGCGGCGGAGCAUGCGGAUUAAUUCGAUGCAACGCGUAGAACCUUACCUGGGUUUGACAUGGAUCGGGAGUGCUCAGAGAUGGGUGUGCCUCUUUUGGGGUCGGUUCACAGGUGGUGCAUGCCUGUCGUCAGCUCGUGUCGUGAGAUGUUGGGUUAAGUCCCGCAACGAGCGCAACCCUUGUUCACUGUUGCCAGCACGUUAUGGUGGGGACUCAGUGGAGACCGCCGGGGUCAACUCGGAGGAAGGUGGGGAUGACGUCAAGUCAUCAUGCCCCUUAUGUCCAGGGCUUCACGCAUGCUACAAUGGCUGGUACAGAGAGUGGCGAGCCUGUGAGGGUGAGCGAAUCUCGGAAAGCCGGUCUCAGUUCGGAUUGGGGUCUGCAACUCGACCUCAUGAAGUCGGAGUCGCUAGUAAUCGCAGAUCAGCAACGCUGCGGUGAAUACGUUCCCGGGGCU
This 1346-nucleotide ribosomal RNA is filed under the name uncultured bacterium. Its description in RNAcentral is "partial 16S ribosomal RNA". It matches the Rfam family "Bacterial small subunit ribosomal RNA", at positions 28 to 1381 of the family's 1533-position model. The record is from RNAcentral.